This 130-nucleotide transfer RNA is filed under the name Pseudomonas sp. FeN3W. RNAcentral describes it as "tRNA-OTHER". It matches the Rfam family "tRNA". From Rfam's summary of the family: Transfer RNA (tRNA) molecules are approximately 80 nucleotides in length. Their secondary structure includes four short double-helical elements and three loops (D, anti-codon, and T loops). Lineage: Bacteria; Pseudomonadati; Pseudomonadota; Gammaproteobacteria; Pseudomonadales; Pseudomonadaceae. The record is from RNAcentral.
GUAGAUGUAGCUCAGUGGGAGAGCAGCCGGAAGGUUCCGGUGAGCUAAAUCCCUGGCGCAUGCGCAACCUACUGGUGGUCGCCCAUCGCCUUGUGGAUACUUUGCGCUGGUUCGAGUCCAGCCAUCUGCA